AGCCGGGCCCCGUGCAACGACGGCGUGUGAACCCCGCCAGGUCCGGAAGGAAGCAGCGGUAGCAAUGUCCGGCGUGUGCUGCGGAUCAGCCUGGCUAUC
This is a non-coding RNA of Syntrophus aciditrophicus SB, 99 nucleotides long. It matches the Rfam family "Bacterial small signal recognition particle RNA". From Rfam's summary of the family: The signal recognition particle (SRP) is a universally conserved ribonucleoprotein involved in the co-translational targeting of proteins to membranes. Archaeal SRP consists of a 7S RNA and homologues of the eukaryotic SRP19 and SRP54 proteins. In most bacteria, the SRP consists of a 4.5S RNA and the Ffh protein (a homologue of the eukaryotic SRP54 protein). The record is from Rfam. Lineage: Bacteria; Pseudomonadati; Thermodesulfobacteriota; Syntrophia; Syntrophales; Syntrophaceae.